RNAcentral lists this long non-coding RNA (1111 nucleotides) under Macaca mulatta (Rhesus monkey). Its description in RNAcentral is "lncRNA (ENSMMUG00000063142.1)". Lineage: Eukaryota; Metazoa; Chordata; Mammalia; Primates; Cercopithecidae. The record is from RNAcentral.
AUGGAAGCAUGGUUAAGCUACUUCCUCCUGGGGCUGCCUUUGGAGCGUUGGUGUCUUGGGCUGCUGGAAGGCACGGCGGAGGGAGCACCACCACCACUCGCCAAGGUCUUAAUAGACUCCGCGCUCCAUAAAGUGGACACAGAGCCAGUGACGGCGGAGAGGGCCCGGCGGGCGCCCACCGGCAUUGGCUGCGCUCCGAUUACUUCGUUAAGCAGUGUCAUGCUUCUUCUUCUUCUUCUUCUUCUUUUUUUAAUUUUUCCCUCCUACUGUGAGAACUGUUCACUUGGAGACUCCCUGUCCUAAUUACAAAGAGCCCUUUUAACCACAGGUCACAGGACUUGGCUCUCUUGACAGGAAAUAAGGAAACAAGCUACCUUCCUGGAAAAAAAAAUUCAAACUUCUACUUCUCAGAUUAGUUAAAUGAAGCUUGUCGACGGUUGGGAGUUGAGUCUUAUGACAGUUGGUUAAUCGCAGUUGGUACAUUAACUAUGUUUUAACCAGAACUGUUUGGGAUCUAAGUAGAUUCAAAAAAUAAGGCAAGCCUAGGCACGUCCCACGAAAAACACCUAAAAUAACCACAAAGUUGAUAUUGGUUUUACUUGCUAUAGGUAUUACAAUACAAAAUAGAUUCCUGUACCUUUAACACUGUAGUUAAGUAAAUUUACAAACAUUAACAUUUUUUAAAUGACACUAAAGCUGCUUUAAAUCCUAGGAAGGCCUCCCUCUCUCUCUCUCUCUCUCUGCUCUUUCUUUUUUGAUUCUACCUUCAAAAUGUCCUCUGUCUAUAUUUUUUAUAUUAAAUAUUCUCUGCAAAGUCUAUCUAGUAAAUAUCUGGUUCCAAGUCUGUGUACACCAUUCUCAAAUAUAAAACUUUUCAAAUGAAGAUAAACCUUUAGUUGAAUUGGUUUAUUUUCUGAUUUGAUUCUUUAAUGUUAUUAUAGAAGAUGGAAUAUCAUUUGCAGUAACAUUAAAAAAACUCUGGUGGUUUUCUUAUUGAAAGACUAUUAUAAUAACAAGCAGAAAUAAAGCAACCAAGAUUUAGAAAAAUAUCAGUGUUUUUGUGUGUUUAUUAUUUGCACUAACAUAUAAUGUCAGAAUGAUAAUUAUAGUG